This 244-nucleotide ribosomal RNA is filed under the name Oxyrrhis marina. RNAcentral's name for it is "partial Bacterial small subunit ribosomal RNA". It matches the Rfam family "Bacterial small subunit ribosomal RNA", at positions 1040 to 1285 of the family's 1533-position model. The record is from RNAcentral. Lineage: Eukaryota; Dinophyceae; Oxyrrhinales; Oxyrrhinaceae.
GCUGCAUGGCUGUCGUCAGCUCGUGUCGUGAGAUGUUCGGUUAAGUCCGGCAACGAGCGCAACCCACAUCUUUAGUUGCCAGCAGUUCGGCUGGGCACUCUAGAGAAACUGCCCGUGAUAAGCGGGAGGAAGGUGUGGAUGACGUCAAGUCCUCAUGGCCCUUACGGGUUGGGCUACACACGUGCUACAAUGGUGGUGACAGUGGGCAGCGAGACGGCAACGUCGAGCUAAUCUCCAAAAACCA